RNAcentral lists this ribosomal RNA (292 nucleotides) under uncultured bacterium. Its description in RNAcentral is "partial 16S ribosomal RNA". It matches the Rfam family "Bacterial small subunit ribosomal RNA", at positions 505 to 796 of the family's 1533-position model. The record is from RNAcentral.
GUGCCAGCCGCCGCGGUAAUACGUAGGGGGCAAGCGCUGUCCGGAUUCACUGGGCGUAAAGGGUGUGCAGGCGGUCUGGCGUGUCGAUGGUGAAAGCUCCCGGCUCAACCGGGAAAGUGCUGUCGAAACUACCAGACUUGAGGACGGAAGAGGAAACUGGAACUUCUGGUGUAGCGGUAAAAUGCGUAGAUAUCAGAAGGAACGCCGAUAGCGAAGGCAGGUUUCUGGGACGUUCCUGACGCUGAAACACGAAAGCUAGGGGAGCAAACAGGAUUAGAAACCCCCGUAGUCC